RNAcentral lists this ribosomal RNA (253 nucleotides) under uncultured bacterium. RNAcentral describes it as "partial 16S ribosomal RNA". It matches the Rfam family "Bacterial small subunit ribosomal RNA", at positions 524 to 776 of the family's 1533-position model. The record is from RNAcentral.
GACAGAGGGUGCGAACGUUGUUCGGAAUUACUGGGCGUAAAGCGUGUGUAGGCGGCCAAGAAAGUCGGAUGUGAAAGCCCUGGGCUCAACCCAGGAAGUGCACCCGAUACUGCUUGGCUAGAGUAUCGGAGAGGUUGGUGGAAUUCUCGGUGUAGAGGUGAAAUUCGUAGAUAUCGAGAGGAACACCGGUGGCGAAGGCGGCCAACUGGACGAAUACUGACGCUGAGACACGAAAGCGUGGGGAGCAAACAGG